Molecule: ribosomal RNA, 374 nt
Filed under: uncultured Eubacteriales bacterium
Lineage: Bacteria; Bacillati; Bacillota; Clostridia; Eubacteriales
Description: bacterial SSU rRNA
Rfam family: Bacterial small subunit ribosomal RNA
Source: RNAcentral
UUAACCGGGACCUUCUUCGGACAGAGGAGACAGGUGGUGCAUGGUUGUCGUCAGCUCGUGUCGUGAGAUGUUGGGUUAAGUCCCGCACGAGCGCAACCCUUGUCUUUAGUUGCCAUCAUUCAGUUGGGCACUCUAGAGAGACUGCCGAGGACAACUCGGAGGAAGGUGGGGAUGACGUCAAAUCAUCAUGCCCCUUAUGUCCUGGGCUACACACGUGCUACAAUGGCUGGUACAAAGAGACGCAAGACCGCGAGGUGGAGCAAAUCUCAAAAACCAGUCCCAGUUCGGAUUGUAGGCUGCAACUCGCCUGCAUGAAGUCGGAGUUGCUAGUAAUCGCAGAUCAGAAUGCUGCGGUGAAUGCGUUCCCGGGUCUU